GUGGGGAAUAUUGGACAAUGGGCGAAAGCCUGAUCCAGCCAUGCCGCGUGUGUGAAGAAGGUCUUCGGAUUGUAAAGCACUUUAAGUUGGGGGGAAGGGCAGUAAGUUAAUACCUUGCUGUUUUGACGUUACCGACAGAAUAAGCACCGGCUAACUUCGUGCCAGCAGCCGCGGUAAUACGAAGGGUGCAAGCGUUAAUCGGAAUUACUGGGCGUAAAGCGCGCGUAGGUGGUUUUGUAAGUUGGAGGUGAAAUCCCCGGGCUCAACCUGGGAACUGCCUCCAAAACUGCAUGACUAGAGUACGGUAGAGGGUAGUGGAAUUUCCUGUGUAGCGGUGAAAUGCGUAGAUAUAGGAAGGAACACCAGUGGCGAAGGCGACUACCUGGACUGAUACUGACACUGAGGUGCGAAAGCGUGGGGAGCAAACAGGAUUAGAAACCCCGGUAGUCC
RNAcentral lists this ribosomal RNA (450 nucleotides) under uncultured bacterium. Its description in RNAcentral is "partial 16S ribosomal RNA". It matches the Rfam family "Bacterial small subunit ribosomal RNA", at positions 354 to 796 of the family's 1533-position model. The record is from RNAcentral.